This 1273-nucleotide ribosomal RNA is filed under the name metagenome. Its description in RNAcentral is "SSU rRNA". It matches the Rfam family "Eukaryotic small subunit ribosomal RNA", at positions 482 to 1777 of the family's 1831-position model. The record is from RNAcentral.
AAUGCGGGACUCUAAGAGGCCCCGUAAUUGGAAUGAGUACACCUUAAAUCGUUUAACGAGUAUCAAUUGGAGGGCAAGUCUGGUGCCAGCAGCCGCGGUAAUUCCAGCUCCAAUAGCGUAUAUUAAAGUUGCUGCAGUUAAAAAGCUCGUAGUUGGAUCUGGGGCUUGAGGUCGCUGUCUAUCGUUUCGGCGAUGACGGUGAUGCUCAGCUCUGCUUGCCGGUGACUGUUGCGGUGUUCUUCACUGAGCGCUGUAGCAGCACGGCACGUUUACUUUGAAAAAAAUUAGAGUGCUCAAAGCGUGCUUGUCGCUUGAAUAAUGUUGCAUGGAAUAAUGGAAUAGGACCUCGGUUCUAUUUUGUUGGUUUUCGGAGCUUGAGGUAAUGAUUAAGAGGGACGAACGGGGGCAUUCGUAUUGCGGUGUUAGAGGUGAAAUUCUUGGAUCGCCGCAAGACGGACUACUGCGAAAGCAUUUGCCAAGAACGCUUUCAUUAAUUAAGAACGAAAGUCAGAGGUUCGAAGACGAUCAGACACCGUCCUAGUUCUGACCAUAAACGAUGCCGACCAGCGAUCCGUAGUGGUUGCUUUAUGGACCCUACGGGCAGCCUCCGGGAAACCAAAGUAUUUGGGUUCCGGGGGAAGUAUGGUUGCAAAGCUGAAACUUAAAGGAGUUGACGGAAGGGCACACCAGGAGUGGAGCCUGCGGCUUAAUUUGACCCAACACGGGAAAACUCACCCGGUCCGGACACCGUAAGGAUUGACAGACUGAUAGCUCUUUCUCGAUUCGGUGGAUGGUGGUGCAUGGCCGUUCUUAGUUGGUGGAGUGAUUUGUCUGGUUAAUUCCGAUAACGAACGAGACUCUAGCCUGCUAAGUAGUGUUGCUAUUGUUAUAUGAUUGCCACUUCUUAGAGGGACAAGUGGCAUUUAGCCACGCGAAAUUGAGCAAUAACAGGUCUGUGAUGCCCUUAGAUGUCCGGGGCCGCACGCGCGCUACACUGGAGAAGUCAGCGUGUGUUAUCCAAGUCCGAAAGGACUGGGUAAUCCGUUGAACCUUCUUCGUGCUUGGGACUGUGGCUUGGAACUAUUCCACAUGAACGAGGAAUUCCUAGUAAUUGCAAGUCAUAAGCUUGCGUUGAUUACGUCCCUGCCCUUUGUACACACCGCCCGUCGCUACUACCGAUUGAAUGGUUUAGCAAGGUCCUCGGAUCGUGGCCGUAGGGGCACGCAAGUGUUUCUGCGGUUUGCGAGAAGACGACCAAACUUGAUCAUUUAGA